Molecule: ribosomal RNA, 492 nt
Filed under: uncultured bacterium
Lineage: Bacteria
Description: partial 16S ribosomal RNA
Rfam family: Bacterial small subunit ribosomal RNA
Source: RNAcentral
AGUGAACGUUGGCGGUAGGCCUAACACAUGCAAGUCGAACGGCAGCACAGUAAGAGCUUGCUCUUACGGGUGGCGAGUGGCGGACGGGUGAGGAAUACAUCGGAAUCUACUUGUUCGUGGGGGAUAACGUAGGGAAACUUACGCUAAUACCGCAUACGACCUACGGGUGAAAGCAGGGGAUCUUCGGACCUUGCGCGAUUGAAUGAGCCGAUGUCGGAUUAGCUAGUUGGCGGGGUAAAGGCCCACCAAGGCGACGAUCCGUAGCUGGUCUGAGAGGAUGAUCAGCCACACUGGAACUGAGACACGGUCCAGACUCCUACGGGAGGCAGCAGUGGGGAAUAUUGGACAAUGGGCGCAAGCCUGAUCCAGCCAUACCGCGUGGGUGAAGAAGGCCUUCGGGUUGUAAAGCCCUUUUGUUGGGAAAGAAAAGCAGCAGGUUAAUACCCCGCUGUUCUGACGGUACCCAAAGAAUAAGCACCGGCUAACUUCGUG